Molecule: ribosomal RNA, 200 nt
Filed under: uncultured prokaryote
Description: partial 16S ribosomal RNA
Rfam family: Bacterial small subunit ribosomal RNA
Source: RNAcentral
GUCAAGUCAUCAUGGCCCUUAUGUCCAGGGCGACACACGUGCUACAAUGGCCGGUACAGAGGGAAGCGAGCCCGAGAGGUUGAGCGGAUCCCUAUAAAGCCGGUCGCAGUUCGGAUUGAGGUCUGCAACUCGACCUCAUGAAGCUGGAAUCGCUAGUAAUCGCAGGUCAGCAUACUGCGGUGAAUACGUUCCCGGGUCUU